RNAcentral lists this long non-coding RNA (1161 nucleotides) under Oryctolagus cuniculus (rabbit). Its description in RNAcentral is "lncRNA (ENSOCUG00000037298.1)". The record is from RNAcentral. Lineage: Eukaryota; Metazoa; Chordata; Mammalia; Lagomorpha; Leporidae.
AUGCUCCCACGCACACAUGCUCCCACAGGGUUCCAGGCACACACAUGCUCCCACGCGUGCACUUGUGAACACGUGAACACGCACAUGUGCACACACAGAGCACGUUACAAAGUGGAAUGGGAUUCUGAAAUCUGCAGAAUUCUGCAAACGAAAGAUGUGGAAAAUGAUGUUGCUGCUCUUAAUUCCUGCACCUACGCAGGAAGGGGAGUUAGAGAGGAGGAGAGAACUUUCCAGAGUGCUGUUACCGUGCCAACCACAUCCCCUUGGGAGGGGCAUGCAUGGGGCCAUCCUGAAUGCCGAUGCUGUAACCCCUGCAUUUGGGAAUCCGAGUGCACGGGGCAUCAGCUACCCCCGGGGAACCCAAAGGCUGAGAGACGGCCGCACGGGAGAGGGGACUGUGCCACCGGGCCUGCGCCUCCCAAGGCUUUCAGGAGAAAGCGUGUGUGGACAGCUGCCACAGACCAGACGUGCGCCAUGGGAAGGAGAAGCCGUCGUGUUGUCCUGGGCGUCACCCGGAGGAAGGAGGCCCUCAGCAGGCGGAAGCUGAAGAUGCUACCAGGAGGAGGAAAGAGCACCGAGGGGGAGGAAAUGUCCUUGCUCCCAGGGGAGCGGCCGGGGCGGAACCCCCACGGCUGGACCCAGAGUUGGCCGAGUCAUACCAAGAAGCUCAGUGCGGGGCGCUGCGGCCGGGCACGCGGUGGGGGAGGGGAGUGGCUUCUGCUGGGCUCAGCCGCCAGGGUGUGUGAGCGGCCCCCACAGCCUGAGCACGCCCACCCCGGGCGCUGUGACAAAGACGAGGCGACAGGGGGUUCUCCAUCAGGGGCAGUCCUUCCCGCGGGGCCACCAGCGCGAUUCCAUGGUUACCGCUUCCAGGAGCCAGGCAGAAGGGUGGGGCUGGGGCCACGGGAAGGAACUUCACAGGUGUGCAGGUGCAGCCAGGGUGGGGGGCGGGACACUGAGCCCAGUCAGGGAAGCUCCCGCGAGGUGGCGAGGUCUACGCUGAGGCUGAGCGGGACAUGGAGGCAGAGAAGGGAAUGCGGGGAAGUGGGGAGCAGAACGCGGAGUGGGAGGCCCAGGAGAGGGAGGUGGGGCAGGGGUAGUUGCGUUAGGUUCCAUCUUCGUCUAAAAUCAGAGGUGGGGAAACUUUUUUUUUUCCCGUAG